Molecule: ribosomal RNA, 252 nt
Filed under: uncultured bacterium
Lineage: Bacteria
Description: partial small subunit ribosomal RNA
Rfam family: Bacterial small subunit ribosomal RNA
Source: RNAcentral
AGCCUGAACGCUGGCGGCGUGGCUAAGACAUGCAAGUCGAACGGGUGUAGCAAUACACCAGUGGCGGACGGGUGAGUAAUGAAUCGCUAAUGUACCCCGGAGCCAGGGAUAGCUAUCCGAAAGGAUAGGUAAUACCUGAUGAGACCACAGUGCCGCAUGGCACGGUGCUCAAAGCAGCAAUGCACUCUGGGAGCAGGCGAUUUUGUAUCAGCUUGUUGGUGAGGUAAUGGCUCACCAAGGCGACGACGCAUA